UACAGAGGGUGCGAGCGUCAAUCGGAAUUACUGGGCGUAAAGCGCACGUAGGUGGCGACGUAAGUCGGGUGUGAAAGCCCCGGGCUCAACCUGGGAAUUGCAUUCGAGACUGCAUUGCUGGAGUACGGAAGAGGAAGGCGGAAUUCCCGGUGUAGCGGUGAAAUGCGUAGAUAUCGGGAGGAACAUCAGUGGCGAAGGCGGCCUGCUGGGCUGUUGCUGACGCUGAGGCGCGACAGCGUGGGGAGCAAACAGG
Molecule: ribosomal RNA, 253 nt
Filed under: uncultured bacterium
Lineage: Bacteria
Description: partial 16S ribosomal RNA
Rfam family: Bacterial small subunit ribosomal RNA
Source: RNAcentral